AUAGGCCUAUUGAAUAAAUCUGCCAGAUUAUUUUUAACAUUGCAUAUGCCUAACAUUAUGUGAUAAUACUAAUCACACUCAUAUUGCCUUUCUCUUUCAGUUCAUGAAGAAAUGGCGCCCAGGAAGGUAGGAUGGAAGCGGAAGGCCCUGCAGGUGUCAAAAGGUGGACCAUCUGCAAAGAUCGCAAUUUUCCACCAGUCACCACUGGUUGGUGGAG
This is a long non-coding RNA of Pseudoliparis swirei, 217 nucleotides long. RefSeq lists it as uncharacterized. The record is from RefSeq and is a predicted model, not a curated record. NCBI's taxonomy places the organism in Eukaryota, Metazoa, Chordata, Actinopteri, Perciformes, Liparidae. The transcript has 3 exons.